GACGAACGCUGGCGGCGUGCUUAACACAUGCAAGUCGAACGAAGAGCGAUGGAAGCUUGCUUCUAUCAAUCUUAGUGGCGCACGGGUGAGUAACGCGUAAUCAACCUGCCCUUCAGAGGGGGACAACAGUUGGAAACGACUGCUAAUACCGCAUACGAUCUAACCUCGGCAUCGAGGAUGGAUGAAAGGUGGCCUCUAUUUAUAAGCUAUCACUGAAGGAGGGGAUUGCGUCUGAUUAGCUAGUUGGAGGGGUAACGGCCCACCAAGGCGAUGAUCAGUAGCCGGUCUGAGAGGAUGAACGGCCACAUUGGGACUGAGACACGGCCCAGACUCCUACGGGAGGCAGCAGUGGGGAAUCUUCCGCAAUGGACGAAAGUCUGACGGAGCAACGCCGCGUGAGUGAUGACGGCCUUCGGGUUGUAAAGCUCUGUUAAUCGGGACGAAAGGCCUUCUUGCGAAUAGUUAGAAGGAUUGACGGUACCGGAAUAGAAAGCCACGGCUAACUACGUG
RNAcentral lists this ribosomal RNA (510 nucleotides) under uncultured bacterium. RNAcentral's name for it is "partial 16S ribosomal RNA". It matches the Rfam family "Bacterial small subunit ribosomal RNA", at positions 28 to 507 of the family's 1533-position model. The record is from RNAcentral.